GCCAGGCUGGCUCAGUUGGUUAAGCAUCUGACUUUGGCUCAGGUCAUGAUCUCAUGAUUUGUGGGUUUGAGCCCUGCGCUGGGCU
This 85-nucleotide transfer RNA is filed under the name Felis catus (domestic cat). It matches the Rfam family "tRNA". From Rfam's summary of the family: Transfer RNA (tRNA) molecules are approximately 80 nucleotides in length. Their secondary structure includes four short double-helical elements and three loops (D, anti-codon, and T loops). The record is from Rfam by way of RNAcentral. Lineage: Eukaryota; Metazoa; Chordata; Mammalia; Carnivora; Felidae. RNAcentral also lists the same sequence under 2 other names.